AAAGGCGGAGCUGAACGGGAACCUUCGCUGUAGCCAAUCACCAUCAAGCACUGUUCACCUACGCGGGCACUCACGGACUCAACCGGCAGUUCAACGGUCUAGCUGUUUUGGCGGUGUAGCGACGCCGGGUGCAGGAGGAUCGACUAUGGCUUCACAGUCCAGCGACAGUCAAAGACGUGUCCCUACAGAAAAGAUUCUUCACGCUAGAAAUAAGAUGGAGCUGGGACUGAGGCUUUUGGAGAAGAUUAGGAAAAACAUACAGACAACGAUGAAAUCUCCGCGAAUAUAGGCCUAUUGCUGAGGUCGCUCAUGAUAGUGAUUCACAACCCAGGCAAGAGAAAAAUCAGAACCCAAGUGAAAAUGCAGACUGACAACCACAGCGUAAGAAGAAGGCAAGUUCUUGUGGAAAACAUUUCUAGACUGGGUUUUUGCUAAGGUAGAGUGCGAAUGUCAAAUAAUUGGUUAGAAAUAUAAUCAGAAAUCAAAGAAAU
This is a long non-coding RNA of Corticium candelabrum, 491 nucleotides long. RefSeq lists it as uncharacterized. The transcript has 3 exons. The record is from RefSeq and is a predicted model, not a curated record. NCBI's taxonomy places the organism in Eukaryota, Metazoa, Porifera, Homoscleromorpha, Homosclerophorida, Plakinidae.